GCUACAUGAAACCCACCAGUUUAACUUCUCGUUCCUUGAACGCAGCUAAAGGCAAUCUCUUUUCACAAUCAUCCAUAAACGACCAAACUUCA
Molecule: long non-coding RNA, 92 nt
Organism: Engraulis encrasicolus (European anchovy)
Lineage: Eukaryota; Metazoa; Chordata; Actinopteri; Clupeiformes; Engraulidae
Exons: 2
Source: RefSeq, a predicted model, not a curated record